GUAAGGAAUAUUGGUCAAUGGGCGCAAGCCUGAACCAGCAACGCCGCGUGGAGGAAGAAGGGUUUCGGCUCGUAAACUCCUUUUAGGUGGGAAGAGCAAGGACGGUACCACCUGAAUAAGUCUCGGCUAACUACGUGCCAGCAGCCGCGGUAAAACGUAGGAGACGAGCGUUAUCCGGAUUUACUGGGCGUAAAGCGCGUGCAGGCGGUUAGAUAAGUCACUUGUGAAAGCGCCCGGCUCAACUGGGCGAGGCCGUGUGAGACUGUCUAACUUGAGAGAGGUAGAGGCGAAUGGAAUUCCGGGUGGAGUGGUGAAAUGCGUAGAGAUCCGGAGGAACACCAGUGGCGAAGGCGAUUCGCUGGGCCUACUCUGACGCUCAGACGCGAUAGCAUGGGGAGCGAACGGGAUUAGAAACCCCAGUAGUCC
This 426-nucleotide ribosomal RNA is filed under the name uncultured bacterium. Its description in RNAcentral is "bacterial SSU rRNA". It matches the Rfam family "Bacterial small subunit ribosomal RNA", at positions 354 to 796 of the family's 1533-position model. The record is from RNAcentral.